UCCCGGUUAACCCGGGCAGUCUCAUUAGAGUUCCCACCUUCACGUGUUGGCAACUAAUGAUAAGGGUUGCGCUCGUUGCGGGACUUAACCCAACACCUCACGGCACGAGCUGACGACAGCCAUGCAGCACCUGUGCAGAUGCCCCGAAGGGAACAUACAUUUCUGUAUGCGUCAUCUGCAUGUCAAGCCUGGGUAAGGUUCUUCGCGUUGCAUCGAAUUAAACCACAUGCUCCACUGCUUGUGCGGGUCCCCGUCAAUUCUUUUGAGUUUCACCCUUGCGAGCGUACUCCCCAGGCGGUAUACUUAUCGCGUUAGCUUCGGCACAACUAGGGUUGAGUCCAGUUACACCAAGUAUACAUCGUUUACAGCAAGGACUAC
Molecule: unclassified non-coding RNA, 378 nt
Filed under: uncultured Parachlamydiaceae bacterium
Lineage: Bacteria; Pseudomonadati; Chlamydiota; Chlamydiia; Parachlamydiales; Parachlamydiaceae
Description: contains 16S-23S intergenic spacer region
Source: RNAcentral